This 368-nucleotide ribosomal RNA is filed under the name uncultured bacterium. RNAcentral describes it as "bacterial SSU rRNA". It matches the Rfam family "Bacterial small subunit ribosomal RNA", at positions 164 to 548 of the family's 1533-position model. The record is from RNAcentral.
UAAUACCGCAUAAGAUUGUAGUACCGCAUGGUACAGCAAUUAAAGGAGCAAUCCGCUAUGAGAUGGGCCCGCGGCGCAUUAGCUAGUUGGUGAGGUAACGGCUCACCAAGGCGACGAUGCGUAGCCGACCUGAGAGGGUGAUCGGCCACAUUGGGACUGAGACACGGCCCAGACUCCUACGGGAGGCAGCAGUGGGGAAUAUUGCACAAUGGGGGAAACCCUGAUGCAGCAACGCCGCGUGAGUGAUGACGGCCUUCGGGUUGUAAAGCUCUGUCUUCUGGGACGAUAAUGACGGUACCUGAGGAGGAAGCCACGGCUAACUACGUGCCAGCAGCCGCGGUAAUACGUAGGUGGCGAGCGUUGUCCGG